Molecule: ribosomal RNA, 2182 nt
Filed under: Salmonella enterica subsp. enterica serovar Senftenberg
Lineage: Bacteria; Pseudomonadati; Pseudomonadota; Gammaproteobacteria; Enterobacterales; Enterobacteriaceae
Description: bacterial LSU rRNA
Rfam family: Bacterial large subunit ribosomal RNA
Source: RNAcentral
AGCGUACACGGUGGAUGCCCUGGCAGUCAGAGGCGAUGAAGGACGUGCUAAUCUGCGAUAAGCGCCGGUAAGGUGAUAUGAACCGUUAUAACCGGCGAUUUCCGAAUGGGGAAACCCAGUGUGAUUCGUCACACUAUCAUUAACUGAAUCCAUAGGUUAAUGAGGCGAACCGGGGGAACUGAAACAUCUAAGUACCCCGAGGAAAAGAAAUCAACCGAGAUUCCCCCAGUAGCGGCGAGCGAACGGGGAGGAGCCCAGAGCCUGAAUCAGCAUGUGUGUUAGUGGAAGCGUCUGGAAAGGCGCGCGAUACAGGGUGACAGCCCCGUACACAAAAGCGCACAUGCUGUGAGCUCGAUGAGUAGGGCGGGACACGUGGUAUCCUGUCUGAAUAUGGGGGGACCAUCCUCCAAGGCUAAAUACUCCUGACUGACCGAUAGUGAACCAGUACCGUGAGGGAAAGGCGAAAAGAACCCCGGCGAGGGGAGUGAAAAAGAACCUGAAACCGUGUACGUACAAGCAGUGGGAGCACCCUUUGGGGUGUGACUGCGUACCUUUUGUAUAAUGGGUCAGCGACUUAUAUUCUGUAGCAAGGUUAACCGUAUAGGGGAGCCGGAGGGAAACCGAGUCUUAACCGGGCGUUAAGUUGCAGGGUAUAGACCCGAAACCCGGUGAUCUAGCCAUGGGCAGGUUGAAGGUUGGGUAACACUAACUGGAGGACCGAACCGACUAAUGUUGAAAAAUUAGCGGAUGACCUGUGGCUGGGGGUGAAAGGCCAAUCAAACCGGGAGAUAGCUGGUUCUCCCCGAAAGCUAUUUAGGUAGCGCCUCGUGAAUUCAUCUCCGGGGGUAGAGCACUGUUUCGGCUAGGGGGCCAUCCCGGCUUACCAACCCGAUGCAAACUGCGAAUACCGGAGAAUGUUAUCACGGGAGACACACGGCGGGUGCUAACGUCCGUCGUGAAGAGGGAAACAACCCAGACCGCCAGCUAAGGUCCCAAAGUCAUGGUUAAGUGGGAAACGAUGUGGGAAGGCCCAGACAGCCAGGAUGUUGGCUUAGAAGCAGCCAUCAUUUAAAGAAAGCGUAAUAGCUCACUGGUCGAGUCGGCCUGCGCGGAAGAUGUAACGGGGCUAAACCAUGCACCGAAGCUGCGGCAGCGACACUGUGUGUUGUUGGGUAGGGGAGCGUUCUGUAAGCCUGUGAAGGUGUGUCGUGAGGCAUGCUGGAGGUAUCAGAAGUGCGAAUGCUGACAUAAGUAACGAUAAAGCGGGUGAAAAGCCCGCUCGCCGGAAGACCAAGGGUUCCUGUCCAACGUUAAUCGGGGCAGGGUGAGUCGACCCCUAAGGCGAGGCCGAAAGGCGUAGUCGAUGGGAAACGGGUUAAUAUUCCCGUACUUGGUGUUACUGCGAAGGGGGGACGGAGAAGGCUAUGUUGGCCGGGCGACGGUUGUCCCGGUUUAAGCGUGUAGGUGUGUGUUCCAGGUAAAUCCGGUUCACUUUAACACUGAGGCGUGACGACGAGGCACUACGGUGCUGAAGCAACAAAUGCCCUGCUUCCAGGAAAAGCCUCUAAGCAUCAGGUAACAUCAAAUCGUACCCCAAACCGACACAGGUGGUCAGGUAGAGAAUACCAAGGCGCUUGAGAGAACUCGGGUGAAGGAACUAGGCAAAAUGGUGCCGUAACUUCGGGAGAAGGCACGCUGACACGUAGGUGAAGUGAUUUACUCAUGGAGCUGAAGUCAGUCGAAGAUACCAGCUGGCUGCAACUGUUUAUUAAAAACACAGCACUGUGCAAACACGAAAGUGGACGUAUACGGUGUGACGCCUGCCCGGUGCCGGAAGGUUAAUUGAUGGGGUCAGCGCAAGCGAAGCUCCUGAUCGAAGCCCCGGUAAACGGCGGCCGUAACUAUAACGGUCCUAAGGUAGCGAAAUUCCUUGUCGGGUAAGUUCCGACCUGCACGAAUGGCGUAAUGAUGGCCAGGCUGUCUCCACCCGAGACUCAGUGAAAUUGAACUCGCUGUGAAGAUGCAGUGUACCCGCGGCAAGACGGAAAGACCCCGUGAACCUUUACUAUAGCUUGACACUGAACAUUGAGCCUUGAUGUGUAGGAUAGGUGGGAGGCUUUGAAGCGUGGACGCCAGUCUGCGUGGAGCCAACCUUGAAAUACCACCCUUUAAUGUUUGAUGU